Molecule: ribosomal RNA, 464 nt
Filed under: uncultured bacterium
Lineage: Bacteria
Description: partial 16S ribosomal RNA
Rfam family: Bacterial small subunit ribosomal RNA
Source: RNAcentral
CUACGGGUGGCUCCAGUGGGGAAUAUUGCACAAUGGGCGCAAGCCUGAUGCAGCCAUGCCGCGUGUAUGAAGAAGGCCUUCGGGUUGUAAAGUACUUUCAGCGGGGAGGAAGGGAGUAAAGUUAAUACCUUUGCUCAUUGACGUUACCCGCAGAAGAAGCACCGGCUAACUCCGUGCCAGCAGCCGCGGUAAUACGGAGGGUGCAAGCGUUAAUCGGAAUUACUGGGCGUAAAGCGCACGCAGGCGGUUUGUUAAGUCAGAUGUGAAAUCCCCGGGCUCAACCUGGGAACGGCAUCUGAUACUGGCAAGCUUGAGUCUCGUAGAGGGGGGUAGAAUGCCAGGUGUAGCGGUGAAAUGCGUAGAGAUCUGGAGGAAUACCGGUGGCGAAGGCGGCCCCCUGGACGAAGGCUGACGCUCAGGUGCGAAAGCGUGGGGAGCAAACAGGAUUAGAUACCCCGGUAGUC